AUGGCAAACACUACUUUAAAUGGAUCAAUGGACAGCUGGACUUACUCGUGGGGCUCGAAAGUUUACUCUGCGCACAGAUAUUACACAUACUACUUCAGAGACAUGCAUGCUCAUGACACGUUCAAGUGGAUAUGGAAAUCAAGGGCCACGAUGAAAAUUAAAGUUUUUGGUUGGCUCCUCCUGGUUGAUCGGUUAAACACUCGCAACAUGCUCAAAAGAAGGCAUUAUAAUAUUGGAGAGGAUCACAGCUGCCUUCUCUGCGACUCUCCCGAUGAAGAAACUCUGGAACAUCUAUUUUUUGAGUGCUCCUUCAGCUUCCAUUGCUGGGAAGCCCUUCAUAUUCCCUGGGCUGCGGGGGAGACAACAAUCCAAAGGAUAUCAGAGGCCAAACUUGGUUGGAACCGACCCCUCUUCAUGGAAACAUUUCUGUUGGCUGCUUGGAGUAUUUGGAAGGAGAGGAACAACAAGCACUUUAGGAGAAUUGCACCAUCAAAAGAAUCCUGGCUAAGAAGAUUCAAGGAAGAUUUUUCUCUCCUCACUCAUAGGGUGAAGGAGAAGCACAAAGACUCUAUCCCCUCUAUCCUAGCCUCUAUAGUCUAG
RNAcentral lists this ribosomal RNA (600 nucleotides) under Triticum aestivum (bread wheat). Its description in RNAcentral is "partial small subunit ribosomal RNA". The record is from RNAcentral. Lineage: Eukaryota; Viridiplantae; Streptophyta; Magnoliopsida; Poales; Poaceae.